AAUCAUUUAAGUGUAAUGGUAUUUGUGAUAACGUAAGGGAAAAAAAUGAUGUCACCUUACUAUAAGUGUUGUCCAAAUAACUGGUGCCAGAAGACUCGGUAAGACCAGAAACGCAAACGUUAGUCGUCUUAAUAAGGCGUAAAGGGUGUGUAGGCUGCUUUGAAAGUUCAACAUUUAAAAUAGCUCUGUCUAUAUUAACAAAAUUUAGUUUAUUUUUAUUUUAUUUUAUUUUAAUUUAAGAAGAAAUAAAUUUAUAUAUAUUUGUUAAAUACAGUAAAUAUUGGAUUAAUUAAAGCUAGAAUCUUAUAGAGGAUAAACCGAAUAAUGCUUAGAGAAGGGCUGAUAUUCUAAAAAACUAAGUGGAAUACUAAAGGUGAAAGCUUUUUAUCUACUAAAGAUUGACGCUGAGAAACGAAGGUGAGGAUAGGAAAUAGGAUUAGAUACCCAGGUACCCCUCACUGUCAACGAUGAAUGGUAGUUUGUUAGUUUAUUAGAAACUGGUAACAAUGUUAACGCGAUAACCAUUCCGCCUUGAGAGUACGGUUGCAAAACUGAAACCAAAAAAAUUAGUCGGUCUCG
Molecule: ribosomal RNA, 579 nt
Filed under: Laccaria pumila
Lineage: Eukaryota; Fungi; Basidiomycota; Agaricomycetes; Agaricales; Hydnangiaceae
Description: partial 16S small subunit ribosomal RNA
Rfam family: Bacterial small subunit ribosomal RNA
Source: RNAcentral